GGAAGGAUCAUUCGAAAACAAAAUCCACAUAUCGCAAUGAAGUUACCCAGCUUACAUCUUCACGCGCAUGCCAUAAUUCUUUUUUUGGCUCAGCGGUGGAUAUCUAAGUUCCAUGAGCGUAGAAGAUCGUAGCAAAUUGUGUUAAGCAACUUGAAUUGCAGACUUCUGUGAGUGCCAGUAUGUUGAACGUGUAUUGCUCUCACUGCUUGCACAGUGUGAAUUCUUGUGUCAAAGCUUCCUGACCGUACUAGGCUGUGUUCUCCAGGGUAUUCUAUUGCAUCUACCUCUCCUUGAAUGCAGCGAGUAAAUGUGUGUUUCCUACUGCUUGAACUUACGGUGGUGUCUACACAACGAACUCGUAAGUUGUUCUACUUGCGUAGCUUGCUUCAAGUUAGACUACCUGCUGAACUUAAGCAUAUCAUUCAGUAGAGGAAAAGAAAUUAACAAAGAUACCCUCAGUAGUGGCGAACGAAUAGGGUCCAGAUCAAUGUGACAAACAUAGCUUUGAACGUUAUGACUUGUAGUCUUCAGACCGUACCCAGUAGAAUAGUGACUCUGUGUUUCUUGGAAGAGAGCUCCUCAGAGAGUGACAGUCUCGUCUUGUUACAAUACUUUCUACGAAAUGGUGCGGAGCAUUGGAGUCGCACUUCUUUGACACGAAGUGUAAAACAGAAGGUAGUUCUCUUCGAAAUCUACGUAUGUGUUGGAGUCUGAUAGAUCACAAGUACCGUAAGGGACAUGUGAAAAGUACUUUGGAAAGAGAGUCACAAUACCUUGAACUCGCUGAACUGAAACCGAAUCAAUUGCAACAACGUAAAACCUCGCAGGAUGCUGCUCUUGCUGAGCAAACUUCGGUUUGCAACGUGCAGUAUACUUGGGAGACUUUUUUACUGAUGGUAAGAUGGUUGUUCUGGAACACAAUAUGAGUCUGUUAAACCACCUCACUUGGGACAAGGGAAACUAACGGAAACAUUUGAUGUACAACAUCCACUCUGUUACAAUAGCUGAACUGUAGAGGACUUUGAGAAGAUGCUUGUCAAUGCAGUUGUCCGACCCGUCUUGAAACACGGACCAAGGAGUCUACUAUGUGUGCAAGUAGUGUUUGAAAACAUCAUGACUGCGAAAAAAACAUAAGUGUUCAUCCAAUGUAACCUUUUGCUUGUGUGCUGCAAAUUGGAGUUGGAGCGCACCUGUUAGGACCCGAAAGAUGGUGAACUAUGCUUGGGUAAGGUGAAGCCAGAGGAAACUCUGGUGAAGGCUUGUUUCGAUACUGACGUGCAAAUCGUUCAUUCGACCUAAGUAUAGGGGCGAAAGACUCAUCGAACCAUCUCGUAGCUGGUUCUCUC
RNAcentral lists this unclassified non-coding RNA (1346 nucleotides) under Metazoa environmental sample. Its description in RNAcentral is "sequence contains 18S rRNA gene, ITS1, 5.8S rRNA gene, ITS2, 28S rRNA gene". The stretch from base 377 to 1346 matches the Rfam family "Eukaryotic large subunit ribosomal RNA", at positions 1 to 961 of the family's 3401-position model. Lineage: Eukaryota; Metazoa. The record is from RNAcentral.